AAAUUGAAGAGUUUGAUCAUGGCUCAGAUUGAACGCUGGCGGCAGGCCUAACACAUGCAAGUCGAACGGUAACAGGAAACAGCUUGCUGUUUCGCUGACGAGUGGCGGACGGGUGAGUAAUGUCUGGGAAACUGCCUGAUGGAGGGGGAUAACUACUGGAAACGGUAGCUAAUACCGCAUAAUGUCGCAAGACUAAAGAGGGGGACCUUCGGGCCUCUUGCCAUCGGAUGUGCCCAGAUGGGAUUAGCUAGUAGGUGGGGUAACGGCUCACCUAGGCGACGAUCCCUAGCUGGUCUGAGAGGAUGACCAGCCACACUGGAACUGAGACACGGUCCAGACUCCUACGGGAGGCAGCAGUGGGGAAUAUUGCACAAUGGGCGCAAGCCUGAUGCAGCCAUGCCGCGUGUAUGAAGAAGGCCUUCGGGUUGUAAAGUACUUUCAGCGGGGAGGAAGGGAGU
Molecule: ribosomal RNA, 458 nt
Filed under: Escherichia coli
Lineage: Bacteria; Pseudomonadati; Pseudomonadota; Gammaproteobacteria; Enterobacterales; Enterobacteriaceae
Also listed under: 1 other name
Description: bacterial SSU rRNA
Rfam family: Bacterial small subunit ribosomal RNA
Source: RNAcentral